UACGUAGUGUCCGAGCGUUGUCCGGAAUUAUUGGGCGUAAAGGGCUCGUAGGCGGUUUGUUGCGUCGGGAGUGAAAACUUCGAGCUUAACUCGGAGCUUGCUUUCGAUACGGGCAGACUUGAGGCAUUCAGGGGAGAACGGAAUUUCUGGUGUAGCGGUGAAAUGCGCAGAUAUCAGAAGGAACACCGGUGGCGAAGGCGGUUCUCUGGGAAUGUUCUGACGCUGAGGAGCGAAAGCAUGGGGAGCGAACAGG
RNAcentral lists this ribosomal RNA (253 nucleotides) under uncultured bacterium. RNAcentral's name for it is "partial 16S ribosomal RNA". It matches the Rfam family "Bacterial small subunit ribosomal RNA", at positions 524 to 776 of the family's 1533-position model. The record is from RNAcentral.